GAUAUUCAAAAAUUAGUUUUAUUAUGAUUGCCUCCUGGAAGAGGACUAUACAGAGUUUCUUUCACAUUUUCAUAAAAUUUCCCACAACCUGAGAAAUUAAUAAACUUAAAACAGCGAGCACUCAUCUUUUCUUGACAAAAAUUGUAUAGAACUCACAAAAGAAAUUAUCCAGCUUAGAAAAGAAUUAGUCUGCAUAUGGUGUGAUUGCGAGACAGAGAAGCUAAUCCAAAAUCUGGUGAAUCUAAUAUCUCCGGUUACCAUUAAUAGAAAUUUAGCAGCGAAAAAAGGAGGAUUUACAUACAGCACCAUGGAGAUCGAAAGACAACUGCCAUGGGUCUGAAGUUCAGCAAUAGCAAGCAAAUUUCAAUCCAUUACAUCUGAAGUUUGCCCGUCGCAGUGCAAACUUUAGACCUCGGGUCUGAAGUUUCAACAACUUCAAACAUACAAAUAUUGAUAUUAGGCUUGCAUAUAAUUGAAGUUUCAACAACUUCAAACCUGCAUGUCUGAAGUUAACUUUGGCAUAUUGCUUGUGCAGUUCGAACUUAAGACAUUUCGGACUGAAUUGCUUGUGUAGUUCAAACUUCAGACAUUUUGGACUGAAGUGAACCUUGGCAGUCCGCAGUACCCAACUUCAGAUCUACAUGUCCGAAGUUAACCUUGGCUUAUUGCUUGUACAGUUCAAACUUCAGACAUUUCGGACUGAAGUUAACCUCAGCAUAUUGCUUGUGCAGUUCCAACUUCAGACAUUUUGGACACCUUGGCAGUCUGCAGUACCCAACUUCAGAUCUGCAUGUCCUAAGUUAACCUUGGCUUAUUGCUUGUGUAGUUCAAACUUCAGACAUUUCGGACUGAAGUUAACCUCAGCAUAUUGCUUGUGCAGUUCGAACUUCAAACAUUUUGGACUGAAGUUAACCUUGCCAGUCCGCAGUACCUAACUUCAGAUCUGUCUGAAGUUAAUUUUGGCAUAUUGCAUGUGCCGUUCGAACUUCAGACAUUUCAGACUGAAGUUAACGUUGGCAGUCGGAUCGACAGUCCCCAACUUCAGAUUUGUAUGUCUGAAAUUAACCUUGGCAUAUUGCUUGUGCGGUUUGGAUUUCACACAUUUCAGACCAAUCCGCAAGACCCAACUUCAAAUCUAUAUGCUUAAAAGUUUGAACUAUCAAGCCUAAGUUCAAACUCAAAUGUAUCAAUAUAGUGGCUAAAAAGAGCUUUUUUAGAGUGAGAUUCUCAAAAAUUAUAUUGAAAUGGAUACUGGAGCGACUUUUACGAAGAGUAUUUCUACGUCCUUCAAGCUUCCAGUAGUUAUUUUUCAACUAUUUAAACUUCUUUCCCCACUGUAACCCAAACAAAAAAAUCGAAAAUCUAUCAACAUUAUCAACUAAAAAUUGAUAGAGAAAUAGAAAUCCUAGCUCAAAAUACUCACCAAAAUGCAACAAGAGUUCGAAGAAUGCUCUUCGUGAAUCAUUACAUCUUCCACCAAAGCUAUUACCUCUUCAUCUCAAGCUUUAGAUCUGAAACCAAUAAUUAAGCAGGAAAGUACACAGAAAAUAAAGAGAACGGAAUGAGAUAUUACAUAAAAAUAAAGAGAACGAUUUAAGUUGAAGAGAAAAUCAUUGAGAACUAAGUGUUGGAUGGAUCUACUGCGUUGAAGGAUGUACAAGUUUUCUUUUUGUUUUUUUU
RNAcentral lists this long non-coding RNA (1680 nucleotides) under Nicotiana tabacum (common tobacco). Its description in RNAcentral is "long non-coding RNA (NTAB_LNC002621)". Lineage: Eukaryota; Viridiplantae; Streptophyta; Magnoliopsida; Solanales; Solanaceae. The record is from RNAcentral.